UAGAUCCUUAUAAUUUUGCAAAAGGUAAUAAUUUGAUACUCUACAACAAGUUAUCGUCCUCACAACUGUCAGCCUAUCAGCUCGCUCGAAAUUCGCUUUGACAAUUUCAUAGUAUCUUCCGUCACUAAAAAGAAAUAUUCUGAUAUCGAUGGCUUUCUGACUUUUGUCCGAAAAUCGCAAGUUUUCCGGAUCCCAUCGCAACUCCAAACGCUCCAAAUUGGGACAGUUAUUGGCGAUUCCGUCCAUUAAUUGAUCCACGUGAAUGUUAACUCCUAGCCUCUCUUGAGUGCCCAUUACAAGAACUUGUGCAGAGCCUCGUCGGUCAGAUUAUCGGACCUAUCGAGAUCCAGCGCUAUUAAGUUCCUGGUAUUUCCCAACUCGGCCCACGACUUCAGCACGUUAUCGUUGAAACUGUUCAGUUGACCGGCACUAAGGAACCGUAGCCCGGGGAUUCUGGUUAGCAUGUCGAUCAGGCAUUCCGUCGACAGUCGCAGAGCCAUUGUGUCACAGCCGUUUGCCGCCGUCACGAAGCUUCGAUAGUUUCAGCAGACUAAUUCCAAGGUUUGACUCUGAUUUUUUUCAUGCAUCUAGCCUAUCAGUCGUUCGCGUUCGUUAAAUGAAAAGUAGCGUACUCGGUCAUCUCGGUCGUGAUGUUCGUAUAGACGUCCGUCUGCGUUCUGCGAGAAGGAGAAAAAUUGUAACUAAAAUAAUCGCGUGUUUCCCGAAACGCUUUCUCAAAAUAGACGCACUGGAGUGCUCCGCGAGCACAAGCACCUCGUGCGGGCGAUCUCAUUCGAGCGAGAAGAGGCGGCCGAUGCACAUUUUUUGGAGUCCGUCAAAAAAAAAAA
Long non-coding RNA from Monomorium pharaonis (pharaoh ant), 848 nucleotides. RefSeq lists it as uncharacterized. The transcript has 4 exons. NCBI's taxonomy places the organism in Eukaryota, Metazoa, Arthropoda, Insecta, Hymenoptera, Formicidae. The record is from RefSeq and is a predicted model, not a curated record.